RNAcentral lists this ribosomal RNA (253 nucleotides) under uncultured bacterium. Its description in RNAcentral is "partial 16S ribosomal RNA". It matches the Rfam family "Bacterial small subunit ribosomal RNA", at positions 524 to 776 of the family's 1533-position model. The record is from RNAcentral.
UACGGGGGGGGCAAGCGUUGUUCGGAAUUACUGGGCGUAAAGGGCUCGUAGGUGGCCAACUAAGUCGGACGUGAAAUCCCUCAGCUUAACUGGGGAACUGCGUCCGAUACUGGAUGGCUUGAGUUUGGGAGAGGGAUGCGGAAUUCCAGGUGUAGCGGUGAAAUGCGUAGAUAUCGGGAGGAACACCGGUGGCGAAGGCGGUUCUCUGGGCCUUACCUGACGCUGAGGAGCGAAAGCGUGGGGAGCGAACAGG